CCUACGGGGUGCAGCAGUAGGGAAUAUUGCUCAAUGGGGGAAACCCUGAAGCAGCAACGCCGCGUGGAGGAUGAAGGCUUUCGGAUUGUAAACUCCUUUUGUUAGAGAAGAUAAUGACGGUAUCUAACGAAUAAGCACCGGCUAACUCCGUGCUAGCAGCCGCGGUAAUACGGAGGGUGCAAGCGUUACUCGGAUGCACUGGGCGUAAAGAGCGCGUAGGCGGGAUAGCAAGUCAGAUGUGAAAUCCUAUGGCUUAACCAUAGAACUGCAUUUGAUACUGGUAGUCUUGAGUAUGGGAGAGGUAGGUGGAAUUCGUGGUGUAGGGGUAAAAUCCGUAGAGAUCAAGAAGAAUACUCAUUGCGAAGGCAGCCUGCUAGAACAUAACUGACGCUGAUGCGCGAAAGCGUGGGGAGCAAACAGGAUUAGAUACCCGGGUAGUC
RNAcentral lists this ribosomal RNA (440 nucleotides) under uncultured bacterium. Its description in RNAcentral is "partial 16S ribosomal RNA". It matches the Rfam family "Bacterial small subunit ribosomal RNA", at positions 338 to 795 of the family's 1533-position model. The record is from RNAcentral.